UGAGGAAUAUUGGUCAAUGGGCGCGAGCCUGAACCAGCCAAGUCGCGUGAGGGAGGACGGCCCUACGGGUUGUAAACCUCUUUUGUCAAGGGACAAAAUCAGGCUCGAGAGCCUGACCGAGGGUACUUGAAGAAAAAGCAUCGGCUAACUCCGUGCC
This 157-nucleotide ribosomal RNA is filed under the name uncultured bacterium. RNAcentral's name for it is "partial 16S ribosomal RNA". It matches the Rfam family "Bacterial small subunit ribosomal RNA", at positions 355 to 509 of the family's 1533-position model. The record is from RNAcentral.